Long non-coding RNA from Dermacentor silvarum, 411 nucleotides. RefSeq lists it as uncharacterized. Lineage: Eukaryota; Metazoa; Arthropoda; Arachnida; Ixodida; Ixodidae. The record is from RefSeq and is a predicted model, not a curated record. The transcript has 3 exons.
GCCACGUGUGUGUCGUGAGCUCUAAGCACGUGAGUGUGUGUUGUCAUCUGCUGCUGCGCGAUAAGGAACAUUUUGUCAAGAGCGUACAAGACGAAAAGCGGGAUGUAUCUAUAUACCGUCCGUGCAUUGGCUGACGCGGAGGUAUGCUACCGACACGGCUGCGUGGACGCGGGCACGAAGAAAGGAGCGCCGACUGACCAACGAUACUUUGACUGCGCAGCAUGUGUGCCACUCAAGUGCAACAGUUCACGAGGCAUCCCAGGCCCCGAAAGAAGUUGGAAGAAGAUGCAAGCGCAGCAUGCCAAUGUUGAAUAUGCCAGCACGAAGUUUCCAGGCGCAAGUGUUUCUUAUAUAAAAGAAAGCCUAUUCUCUCCCCUCACAAGGGAAAUAAAAUCACUAUAUAAAAAUGCC